GCAGCUCUUAGGGGCAUGAAAGAGAAAUGGUGGGGGAUUGUCUCUUCCAGAGAGAGAUGGCUAGAAAAGCUUAGUGGAUCAUAGGUCAGUUCAGAUCAGAUCAAUUCCCCUCUAUGUGCCAGCGCCAGAGAUGAACAGAUGAACAAGACACAGCCCUUGUCUUCCCAGAACAGACCAACCGGUGGGGGAAAUAGACAGAUAAUAUCAAUAAGAUAUAGUAUCAGAGAGACAUACCCAGGGUGCCAUGGGAGCCUGGUGGAGGGACACCUCAUCACGAAAAGGGGUUGGGCUACGUGAAAGAAACGACACUUGGGCUGAGUCUUUAAGUAUGAACAAGAACUUACUCAUGGAAGAAAGUGAGAAGAGCGCUCGGGCAGGAACAACAGUGUAAGCAAAGGCCCAGAAGCAUGACCAGCAUGGGCGAGUUAAGGAAACGAGCUGAGAGUUCCUAGGUCAGAAAGUAGGAAGGUAGGAGGGCAGGGAGCUAAGGCCGUUAGUGAGGGAGGGGCCAGGCUCUGUAUGCCAAACUAAUAAACAGGUUAGACUUUAUUCUAUAGGCUAUAAGGAGGCCCAACAGGCUUUAAAUAGGGGUAGGACCCAUUUAUAGAGUUCCAAAUUGCAGUAGGUGUCACUGAUUUCUGUAUGCCCACCUUCAGACUAUCAGGUUCCAGAGUGGUCUUUCUAAUGCACAAAUCCAAUGAUAUUGCAUGAGUGAAUCAAAAGAGUUAUUCAGGAACAAAGAGAAAGGUUGUCAAGCUGCACUGAGGAUCCCGCGGAGAUGAGAAAUCAUGAAUUUGCAGAGCCGCCAACUUGCACUGCUGUGUCAUGUUCUCCAUGAUGGAGACAGUCAGAAUUUUGCCAUGUCAGACUCGAGAGUGAAGAGUGCUGGUGAGAGAGCAAUUUUGAUAACUCACCACAGUGGUGAAGGUUGGGUAAGAAGGAGCAUAGCGACGGCCCAGCACCUGAGUCCUGGCCUCGCUCUUUCCUCACAGGACAAACAACAUGAGCUUCAGUGCCCAGUCCACCUUCUCCAACUACCGGUCCCUGGGCUCCGCGCAUCACCGGGCCACCGGGUCCGACUGGUCACCAGCGCUGCCAGCGUCUAUGCAGGCGCCGGGGGCUCAGGCUCCCGGAUCUUUGUGUCCCACUCCACCAGCGUCCAGGGCGGCUGGGGAUCCAGGAACAUGGGCACCGGGAUGGCCAGGGGUCUGGUGGGUAUAGGGGGCAUCCAGGGCAAAAAGGAGACCAUGCAAGACCUGAAUGACCGCCUGGCCUCUUACCUGGAGAGGGUGAAGAGCCUGGAGGCCGAUAAUAGGAGACUGGAGUGCAAAAUCCGAGAACACCUGGAGAAGAAGAGACCCCAGGUCAGAGACUGGGGGCAUUACUUGAAGACCAUCGAGGACCUCAGGGCUCAGAUUUUUGCAAGUUCUGUGGACAAUGCCUGUCUUACUGCUGAUGACUUCAGAGUCAAGUAUGAGACGGAGCUGGCCAUGUGCCAGUCUGUGGAGAGUGACAUCCACAGGCUCCACAAGGUCAUUGAUGACACCAGUGUCACCUGGCUGCAGCUAGAGACUGAGAUGGAGGCUCUCAAGGAGGAGCUGCUCUUCAUGAAGAAGAACCACGAGGAGGAAGUAAAGGGUCUGCAAAACCAGACUGCCAACUCCGGGUUGACCGUGGAGUUGGAUGCCCCCAAACCUCAGGACCUCAGCAAGAUCAUGGUGGACAUCCGGGCCCAGUAUGACAAGCUGGCUCAGAAGAACCGAGAGGAGCUGGGCAAGUACUGGUCCCAGCAGACUGAGGAGAGCACCACAGUGGUCACCUCUCAGACCGCUGAGAUAGGAGCUGCUGAGAUGACACUCACGGAGCUGAGAUGCACCGUCCAGUCCCUGGAGAUCUACCUGGACUCCAUGAGAAAUCUGAAGGCCAGCUUGGAGAACAGCCUGAGGGAAGUGGAGGCCCGCUAUGCCAUGCAGAUGAAACAGCUCAAUGGGGUCCUCCUGCACCUGGAGUCAGAGCUGGCCCAGACCUGAGCAGAGGGGCAACGCCAGACCUAGGAGUACAAGGCCCUGCUGAACAUCAAGGUCAACCUGGAGGCUGAGAUCAACACCUACCACCGCCUGCUGGAAGAUGGGGAGGACUUCAGUCUUGGUGACACCGUAGACAGCAGCAACUCCAUGCAAACCACCUAGAAGACCACCACCCUCAGGCUUGUGGACGGCAAAGUGGUAUCUGAGACCUCAGACACCAAAGUUCUGAGGCAUUGA
Molecule: RNA transcript, 2264 nt
Organism: Aethalodelphis obliquidens (Pacific white-sided dolphin)
Lineage: Eukaryota; Metazoa; Chordata; Mammalia; Artiodactyla; Delphinidae
Gene name: keratin, type I cytoskeletal 18 pseudogene
Exons: 1
Source: RefSeq, a predicted model, not a curated record